This 301-nucleotide ribosomal RNA is filed under the name uncultured bacterium. RNAcentral describes it as "partial 16S ribosomal RNA". It matches the Rfam family "Bacterial small subunit ribosomal RNA", at positions 509 to 809 of the family's 1533-position model. The record is from RNAcentral.
CAGUCGCCACGGGAACACGGAGGGUGCAAGCGUUAAUCGGAAUUACUGGGCGUAAAGCGCACGCAGGCGGUUUGUUAAGUCAGAUGUGAAAUCCCCGAGCUUAACUUGGGAACUGCAUUUGAAACUGGCAAGCUAGAGUCUUGUAGAGGGGGGUAGAAUUCCAGGUGUAGCGGUGAAAUGCGUAGAGAUCUGGAGGAAUACCGGUGGCGAAGGCGGCCCCCUGGACAAAGACUGACGCUCAGGUGCGAAAGCGUGGGGAGCAAACAGGAUUAGAUACCCGCGUAGUCCCUGUCUCUUAUAA